Molecule: ribosomal RNA, 325 nt
Filed under: uncultured soil bacterium
Lineage: Bacteria
Description: bacterial SSU rRNA
Rfam family: Bacterial small subunit ribosomal RNA
Source: RNAcentral
AGGACGAACGCUGGCGGCGUGCUUAACACAUGCAAGUCGAGCGGAAAGGCCUUUCGGGGUACUCGAGCGGCGAACGGGUGAGUAACACGUGAGUAAUCUGCCCAUCGCUUCAGGAUAGCCAUCGGAAACGGUGAUUAAUACUGGAUAUGACAUUCCUUCGCAUGUUGGGGUGUGGAAAGUUUUUUCGGCGGUGGAUGUGCUCGCGGCCUAUCAGCUUGUUGGUGGGGUAAUGGCCUACCAAGGCUUUGACGGGUAGCCGGCCUGAGAGGGUGACCGGCCACACUGGGACUGGAGACGACGGCCCAGACCUCCGUACGGGAGGCAG